Molecule: long non-coding RNA, 2359 nt
Filed under: Cricetulus griseus (Chinese hamster)
Lineage: Eukaryota; Metazoa; Chordata; Mammalia; Rodentia; Cricetidae
Description: lncRNA (ENSCGRG00015042136.1)
Source: RNAcentral
AAGUUUCUGGAAGCCCCAGGGAUCUGGCACCAGGGUCCUGUUUGCUGUUCAGCUGUUUCCCGGGCUCGCUCCAGCAGGGUUGAAUCACCCUGUCUCAUGUUUCCUAAAGAGGAUCUCCUGCCCCAGAGACCUACUCAGUCCCAGGAGAGUGGUGGUCACUGGACCCUGGAUCCAACCUCUUUGGGGAGGACAGACAGCAGAGGCUCGGCUCCAGAUGCUGCCAUGUGACCAUUUAUGUCCUCCAGUAUCCGUGGCAUCCCUGGGACUCUCCACAUUGCUGUCUUUUUCCUCAGCAAGUGCCGUCUUGCCUUACAGCAUAGCAGGUGUCAACUAUCUGAGGCUCUGAAAUGAUGAGAAGACCGUGGCCACAAUGUCCAAGUGGAAAAGGGAAGCUUGGGGCCAAACCUCACCAGAAACCCCGGUGUCCCAUCUCUGCAAAUGCCUUGGAAGCAUCCUCCAACGUGGACCCUUUUCUCAGAUGAGGGAACCGAGGCCCCAGGUGUGGAGCAAUCUGCCCAAGGGUAGACCAAUCAUGGCUGUGCUGUAGCCCCAGAAGGCCAUUGCACUCCUGGGUGAACGCUGUUCCAGACAUCAGGAAGCUGGAGUUUGUGUUUCUGGGUCAGAAGGACCAAGGCAAUGCCAGAGCAUCAUGGAGAAGAGAGACAGAGGCCACUCUGGAAGCCAAGGACCCAGGGAUGGUGGGGAGACCAGUGGGCAGUGUUUGCCACUGUCCCUGACACUUCUGCCUGAGGGCUUGGGCUGGGAGUGAGGGACCCCGACUGACAGAGAUGGGGUUCCAGCAAAGACGCUACUUCUUCAACUGAGACCUGUUCCCAGAGGUGCCUGGGGACAGAGCCAGGCUGCCACAGAGGGGUCUGCUCAAUGCUUCAUAGUGUCACCACCCUCCUGCUGACACUGUCAUCUGCCAGUGAUCCCGGCUGGAGUCAGCUGAGGAGCAGAGUGGAGCCAGAGUGGAGGCUUCAGAGUGUCCAUGUCAGACACUGACCUUGCUUGUGACCUUGGGAGCUAACAGGUGACCAGAGAGGGACGGGUGGUAGAAAGCGCUGGCCCUGGGAUCUGGGGACCCUGGACAGAGGACAGGUGCCGGUCGGCUUCAGGGGAUGAGCUGGCAGCAGAGGAGAGAGUGUGUGACUCACUUUGUAGACACAUCUUGUCCCGCUGGUCACAGCAGCCAGGCCACCUGUCCCAGGGGAUCCUUAUGGGCUUGUGCUAGUGACAGGGCAGUGGGGACCAGGUGACUCCCUUUCCCCCAUGGAGGCCUUGUGUCCAGUGAGAGCUCUCCAUGGCUCCCACACCCAGGGCUCCCUCUGCAGAGCCAGUGCCCCCUGGGGCCUCACACCUGGGUUUCUGUUCCUUUCCCCACAGCUCCCACCACUGGGCUCAUCCAAGUGCCCGGGUCUCUCAGCCCGCACUGGCCCUGCAGAGAUGCCUGCAGCAGGUCCUGCUGCCUCUGCUCUUCUAGGACAGAGGUUUCCACAGAACCCUCCAGGGCUGCACCUCUCUCAGCAGAAAGACUUCAGAGGCUGCAAGGCUCUGUACCCCAGCUCUGCCCCCAGGCCCUCUGGCAUCAUCCUUUCCUCCCUCAACUCACUAGCCUCACCCCUGCAACAUGCCACUAUGCUGCCCCAGGCCCUUUGCACACACUGGUCCCCCACCCCACCUCAAUCCACAACUUCUCUGUUCCAGGUUACAGUUCACAGAGGACCUCCCUGGCCAACCCUCUUGCCUCCUACCUAGAACUUUCUAGAAAUUAUCCCCUUGUUUAUCCAGUUUCUCCUCCAUUCCCCUCCUCUGGAAUGCAGCUGUGGCACAGGUGGGGGACCUGGCUGUUUUGCUCUAGGCUCACACCCACCUCCCAGGACAGGCCCUGCUGCCCUGUAAACACACGGGAAUGAGGGAUUGCAUGCUUCUCCCGGAGCCAGUCCUGCAUGCUGUCUGCCCACAGUCUGCUGCUCUGGCAGGCACAUUCUCCCCUCCCCUGGCUUGGUGUGUAUGUGCUGUGAGACAAGUCGGUCUCCUCUGGUGCAAUGUGUGUGUGCGGGCUUUGUGGUGCCUGCAGCCCUGUGGAGGUGCUGGCAAUGCACCUAGGGUAGCCACUCUGUAAAGACAGUAUGGACUGGGGUGGGGCAAGGGAAGCCACACCCCCACACCCACACACCAGGGCUGGGAACACCAGUUACCCUGGUCAAUGGGCUGAGAGAUUCCACGUGUGCGUAGGUCAGUGGUCUGGUGUUGGCUCCCUGAGUCCUCAGUGCUGUCCAUCCGGGCCUGGAGGCUCACAUUCCUAAUGGUUUCCUAACGCCUGUAACAAUUUUCCCAGCAGGGCUCUCGUGGCUGG